This 291-nucleotide long non-coding RNA is filed under the name Ananas comosus (pineapple). Its description in RNAcentral is "long non-coding RNA (ACOM_LNC041296)". The record is from RNAcentral. Lineage: Eukaryota; Viridiplantae; Streptophyta; Magnoliopsida; Poales; Bromeliaceae.
GAAUAGCUGAACCGUUGAAAACGAGCUAUUGGAUCGCUAUGAACAGAGUCCGAUACGCGCCGAAAGCCAACUCUACUCCGUGGCUUCUCCGGAAAACCGGAGUUACUAUUCACUUAAGUGAAAACUAAUAAUCGCGUAACUUCUCCAUUUUAGCUCAUUUUCUCCUGAAACUUGACGAGUGCUUAUGUAAUUAAAUUACACACAUAAACAUCAUCAACAGAGAGUUUAGUUACACUGUAAAAAUCUCAGUCCUUACAAAUGCCCCCAUCAUUAAUUUUCUUAAGUUUAUUU